AUCGCUUCUCGGCCUUUUGGCUAAGAUCAAGUGGAG
RNAcentral lists this small nuclear RNA (36 nucleotides) under Cervus elaphus hippelaphus. Lineage: Eukaryota; Metazoa; Chordata; Mammalia; Artiodactyla; Cervidae. The record is from RNAcentral.